UAACUGAAAAUUCUUAAAGUAU
This 22-nucleotide microRNA is filed under the name Glycine max (soybean). Its description in RNAcentral is "gma-miR1512a-5p". The record is from miRBase by way of RNAcentral. Lineage: Eukaryota; Viridiplantae; Streptophyta; Magnoliopsida; Fabales; Fabaceae.